This 393-nucleotide ribosomal RNA is filed under the name uncultured bacterium. Its description in RNAcentral is "partial 16S ribosomal RNA". It matches the Rfam family "Bacterial small subunit ribosomal RNA", at positions 523 to 918 of the family's 1533-position model. The record is from RNAcentral.
AUACGGAGGAUCCGAGCGUUAUCCGGAUUUAUUGGGUUUAAAGGGAGCGUAGGUGGGAUAUUAAGUCAGCUGUGAAAGUUUGGGGCUCAACCUUAAAAUUGCAGUUGAUACUGGUUUCCUUGAGUACAGUAGAGGUGGGCGGAAUUCGUGGUGUAGCGGUGAAAUGCUUAGAUAUCACGAAGAACUCCGAUUGCGAAGGCAGCUCACUAGACUGUUACUGACACUGAUGCUCGAAAGUGUGGGUAUCAAACAGGAUUAGAUACCCUGGUAGUCCACACAGUAAACGAUGAAUACUCGCUGUUUGCGAUAUACAGUAAGCGGCCAAGCGAAAGCAUUAAGUAUUCCACCUGGGGAGUACGCCGGCAACGGUGAAACUUAAAUGAAUUGGCGGGG